GUGUAUUGUGUGCGUGUUGUUAUGGUCCAUGCGGAGUAGGGGCGAGAAUGUUGUUCGGUGGUAGUGUGUAAAUGGUAGUGUAGUGCAAGUUAUUUUGCGGUGGUAACAUAAUCACAGUUCCACAUUUAAUAUGGCUUCUGAUGACGUUGAUUAUAUGUCAGAUGACAUAUUGGUUCAAUGUGAACAACAGGACAUAAGACCGGGCUUAAUACUUAACCACAGUCAGAAAAGAUCACAUACAAAAUAUAAACAAAAAUUGGUGAAAGAUGCAGAAAAUAAGAAAAUAUUUCCAAGAAAAAGUGUGCUUGAGGAAGAAAGGAGGGACGAAGGACUAAAAGAAGCAAUUUCCAGUGACAAUAAGGGGUUUGCCCUUCUGCAGAAAAUGGGCUACAAACCAGGAUCAGCUAUUGGAAAAUCAGGUUCAGGAAUUGUGGAGCCUGUACCAAUAGCUGUGAAGACAAAUAGAGGAGGUCUUGGGAGGGAAGCAGCAUUGAAAGAAAUUAAAGAACAAAAACUGGCAAUUAAGGCAAGAUUAUUAAAACACAGGAAUCAAUUAAAUGAUAUAGAAAGUUACAGAAGUCAGAUGACAAGAAAAAUGGAAGAACGUCAGAAUGAAGCUGAUCUAAGGAAAAGUCAGAGAAUUUGUGAGCAGCUUGACAAAAGAAAGGACAUUGACAUUCCAGCAGAACCGUGGUUUUGGCCUGAUGGUUGGUCACAAGAGGAAGAAAAUGAGUCAGAUGAAGAGGAGGAGGAGGAAGAAGAAUGUGAUGGGGAUGAGGAGGAGGAGGAGGAGAGCAGUGAGGAAAUAACAUUUCAGACUCCAGAAAAACUGGAAAUAAUCACGUUGUAUCUAAGAAGAACAUAUCACUAUUGCAUCUGGUGUGGAACAGAAUUUGACGAUGAAAAAGAUAUGCAGCAGAAUUGCCCUGGAAGCACAAGGGCAGAUCAUUAGUAAUCUUAUAGUUAUGAAUAAAUAAAUAAAUAAAAAGAAGCACUGGUCAACAUCAGUCGACAUAAGGACUUGGACGACGCUAAGUGGAGCAUGCCCGUCAAGGAUGCAGUGAUGGCGUAACCAGUGUCAUCACUCAGAAAAGCCGAAGCACAAACAAGCAGGGAGCUCAUUGCCUCAGACUGUGGAAGGGAGAGUGUCAGCAACACCUGAUUCAGCACUUUGAGAAAGUUCAGAGCAGGCACAAUGCUAUCCUCUGAACAGGGCUACGUGUAGUAACUACACUUAGGCAUGUCACAAGAAUGCAUUUCAGGCUGCAAACUUUGCAUAAAAAAAUGUUCUGACACUCUGAAACAACACAUUAGGCCAGCCAGGAAUGCUGACUGACUCAGAAAAUAGGAGCACAGUCAGCCACCAGUAAGGUGGCAUCAAGUCAUCGACUGCUAUAAAACCUUCUUCUUCCUUCCAUUCAAUCUGAGUCUUGCCACUCCAUUUGGAUCGCCGAUACCAAUGUAUGGUCACCGCUACUAGUUACAGAAUGACUUGGUGAAGACAACAAAGUUUUGCUGCCCACCACCAGCUUGGAGUCAUUGCUACAAGUCUGCAGCUGUCUUGCUGUGGAGGGAACUUCAACUGUGCAAGCUGCAUUCCUGCCAGUUACACCUGUGACUACCUGAAGAUGAGGGCAAUGCUAGUCUUCCAUGAAUGAAGAACCAAUGUGCUCACGAGCUGUUCAACUUGAGAGCAGAGUGCCUGUGCUGCCACUCACGGGCAAUACAAGUAUUGGGACCAACUUUCGAGCUGUCCUGUGUCUCUGUUGGGUCUUCCACCUACCCACCAUCACGACAACCAGCAACAGGUGCAUGGUGAUUUCUGGGGGCAAGCCUGAGUGCAACUACACUCAACGAGAGUGCUGAGGCUCUGACAGAUGUCCACAGCCACACCAGGCCGCAGAGACAUGCUGGCUGUCGCACCCUUGUGUGACAGGGCUGUGGCACAAACCUUGGACUACGCCAGGGUGCUACCCUGUGCCUCCGUGUAGUGUGGGUACAGCACACCCACUGCUAAGCCAAAUCGAGAAGAAGACAGAUUGAUUGUAUAACCUUUGGAAAUCGAUGACCAUUUAUUGAAUGAUGUCUUAUUAGUGCCCUGUCAAACUGCUGGACAACACCUCCACUCUACAAUCCUACACCCACGUAAGGAGGCUGCAUUUGGUGGACACCUACAUUAUUAGUGCCUCCAUCUCACUGCUGUCCAGAAAGGGAGCAGCCUCCUAUCCCACACUUGGAAUUUUUCCCCUCAAUCUCUAUGGUUAGUCUGUCUCCAAGCAUGCCUGCACUCUGUUCUCGGCUCGUCCACCUCAGCUAGCUGGCCCCACUUUCGCUGGCCAGCUGUGCAAUCAAGUACACUUGUCACUGUCUUGUUGAAAGUUCCUAAUCUUUCUUUUAAUCACCUAAAAUUUUUUGUCAUUGUCAUUGUUUCUUACCAUUAGCAAUGUAGGAAAAGAUAGAUUGCUACUUACUGUAAAGAAGACACAUUAAGUUGCAGACAGGCUCAAUUAAGACACUUGCACAAAGCUUUAGGCCACAACCUUCAUCAGCAAGAGAGGAAACACACACACACACACACACACACACACACACACACACACACACACACACACACACA
Schistocerca serialis cubense is the source of this 2617-nucleotide RNA transcript. It is a transcript of the gene named G patch domain-containing protein 11, with no coding region annotated. The record is from RefSeq and is a predicted model, not a curated record. The transcript is spliced from 6 exons. Lineage: Eukaryota; Metazoa; Arthropoda; Insecta; Orthoptera; Acrididae.